CCACCGCGGUUAUACGAGAGACCCAAGCUGAUAGUCAACGGCGUAAAGGGUGGUUAGAAGGAAUCCAUUACUAAAGCCGAACGCCCUCAAAGCUGUUAUACGCAUCCGAAGGUGAGAAGCUCACCCACGAAAGUAGCUUUACAACCUUGAAUCCACAAAAGCUAAGAAACAAACUGGGAUUAGAUACCCCACUAUGCUUAGUCGUAAACAUUGACAACAACACACACCUGUUGUCCGCCUGGGAACUACGAGCGCCAGCUUAAAACCCAAAGGACUUGGCGGUGCUUUAGAUCCACCUAGAGGAGCCUGUUCUAGAACCGAUACCCCCCGUUCAACCUCACCCUUCCUUGUUCCCCCCGCCUAUAUACCGCCGUCGUCAGCUUACCCUGUGAAGGACUUAUAGUAAGCAAAAUUGGCACAGCCCAAAACGCCAGGUCGAGGUGUAGCGUAUGGAAGGGGAAGAAAUGGGCUACAUUCUCUAAUCUCAGAGAAAACGAAUGAUGCACUGAAACACGCAUCUGAAGGAGGAUUUAGCAGUAAGCAGGAAAUAGAGUGUCCUGCUGAAAUUGGCCCUGAAGCGCGCACACACCGCCCGUCACUCUCCCCCUAACUAGCCGGACUUAGUUAAAUCACACCACACCCCUAGUUAUUU
This 652-nucleotide ribosomal RNA is filed under the name Menticirrhus americanus (southern kingcroaker). RNAcentral describes it as "partial small subunit ribosomal RNA". It matches the Rfam family "Bacterial small subunit ribosomal RNA", at positions 512 to 1455 of the family's 1533-position model. Lineage: Eukaryota; Metazoa; Chordata; Actinopteri; Sciaenidae. The record is from RNAcentral.